RNAcentral lists this ribosomal RNA (468 nucleotides) under uncultured bacterium. Its description in RNAcentral is "partial 16S ribosomal RNA". It matches the Rfam family "Bacterial small subunit ribosomal RNA", at positions 28 to 507 of the family's 1533-position model. The record is from RNAcentral.
GACGAACGCUGGCGGCGUGCUUAACACAUGCAAGUCGAACGGAAAGGCCCUGCUUUUGUGGGGUGCUCGAGUGGCGAACGGGUGAGUAACACGUGAGUAACCUGCCCUUGACUUUGGGAUAACUUCAGGAAACUGGGGCUAAUACCGGAUAGGAGCUCCUGCUGCAUGGUGGGGGUUGGAAAGUUUCGGCGGUUGGGGAUGGACUCGCGGCUUAUCAGCUUGUUGGUGGGGUAGUGGCUUACCAAGGCUUUGACGGGUAGCCGGCCUGAGAGGGUGACGGGGCACAUUGGGACUGAGAUACGGCCCAGACUGCUACGGGAGGCAGCAGUGGGGAAUAUUGCACAAUGGGCGGAAGCCUGAUGCAGCAACGCCGCGUGCGGGAUGACGGCCUUCGGGUUGUAAACCGCUUUCGCCUGUGACGAAGCGUGAGUGACGGUAAUGGGUAAAGAAGCACCGGCUAACUACGUG